GGAAGGAUCAUUAUUGAAAUAAACCUGAUGGGUUGCUGCUGGUUCUCUAGGGAGCAUGUGCACACUUGUCAUCUUUAUAUCUCCACCUGUGCACCUUUUGUAGACCUGGAUAUCUUUCUGAAUGCCUAGCAUUCAGGUUUGAGGAUCGACUUCAUUGUCCUUUCUUACAUUUUCAGGCCUAUGUUUCUUCAUAUAUACCCCAAUGUAUGUUAUAGAAUGUAAUAAACGGGCCUUUGUGCCUAUAAACCUAUACAACUUUCAGCAACGGAUCUCUUGGCUCUCGCAUCGAUGAAGAACGCAGCGAAAUGCGAUAAGUAAUGUGAAUUGCAGAAUUCAGUGAAUCAUCGAAUCUUUGAACGCACCUUGCGCUCCUUGGUAUUCCGAGGAGCAUGCCUGUUUGAGUGUCAUUAAUAUAUCAACCUCUCCUCAGCUUUUGCUUGUCGAGUGUUGGAUGUGGGGGGCAUUUUUUGCUGGCUUCUAUUUCUGAGGUCAGCUCCCCUGAAAUGCAUUAGCGGAACAAUUUGUUGACCGUUCAUUGGUGUGAUAACUAUCUACGCUAUUGACGUGAAGCAGGUUCAGCUUCUAACGGUCCAUUAACUUGGACAAAUUUUCAUCAAUGUGACCUCAAAUCAGGUAGGACUACCCGCUGAACUUAAGCAUAUCAAUAAGCGGAGGAAAAGAAACUAACAAGGAUUCCCCUAGUAACUGCGAGUGAAGCGGGAAAAGCUCAAAUUUAAAAUCUGGCGGUCUUUGACUGUCCGAGUUGUAAUCUAGAGAAGUGUUAUCCGCGCUGGACCGUGUACAAGUCUCCUGGAAUGGAGCGUCAUAGA
RNAcentral lists this ribosomal RNA (830 nucleotides) under uncultured fungus. RNAcentral describes it as "eukaryotic LSU rRNA". The stretch from base 254 to 407 matches the Rfam family "5.8S ribosomal RNA". The record is from RNAcentral. Lineage: Eukaryota; Fungi.